CAGAGGUGCGAGCGUUAAUCGGAUUACUGGCGUAAGCGCGCGUAGGUGGUAAUAAGUCAAUGUGAAUCCCGAGCUUAACUUGGGAAUUGCAUUCGAUACUGGUUAGCUAGAGUAUGGGAGAGGAUGGUAGAAUUCCAGGUGUAGCGGUGAAAUGCGUAGAGAUCUGGAGGAAUACCGAUGGCGAAGGCAGCCAUCUGGCCUAAUACUGACACUGAGGUGCGAAAGCAUGGGAGCAAACAGGAUU
Molecule: ribosomal RNA, 244 nt
Filed under: uncultured bacterium
Lineage: Bacteria
Description: partial 16S ribosomal RNA
Rfam family: Bacterial small subunit ribosomal RNA
Source: RNAcentral